CAGUCGCCGCGGUAAGACAGAGGAUGCAAGCGUUAUCCGGAAUGAUUGGGCGUAAAGCGUCUGUAGGUGGCUUUUCAAGUCCGCCGUCAAAUCCCAGGGCUCAACCCUGGACAGGCGGUGGAAACUACCAAGCUAGAGUACGGUAGGGGCAGAGGGAAUUCCCGGUGGAGCGGUGAAAUGCGUUGAGAUCGAAAAGAACACCAACGACGAAAGCACUCUGCUGGGUCGACACUGACACUGAGAGACGAAAGCUAGGGGAGCAAAUGGGAUUAGAGACCCGCGUAGUCCCUGUCUCUUAUAC
RNAcentral lists this ribosomal RNA (301 nucleotides) under uncultured bacterium. RNAcentral describes it as "partial 16S ribosomal RNA". It matches the Rfam family "Bacterial small subunit ribosomal RNA", at positions 509 to 807 of the family's 1533-position model. The record is from RNAcentral.